This 1082-nucleotide long non-coding RNA is filed under the name Manihot esculenta (cassava). Its description in RNAcentral is "long non-coding RNA (MESC_LNC006465)". Lineage: Eukaryota; Viridiplantae; Streptophyta; Magnoliopsida; Malpighiales; Euphorbiaceae. The record is from RNAcentral.
CUUUGCGAGUGAUUUGACCAGUGAUCUUCGAGUUUCUUGGGCAAAUCACUGCCCAUAUCACUGCUAUCUGUUGCCUCCGGGUUUCUGCUUUGGCUUGAUCUGGGCAGUGAUUGGAGCAGAUUUUUGGGCAAAUCAUCCUUUUGUAAUUUUUAUGCACUUUUUCUCCCAUUUUCCAAUUUCUUCCUUUUCUGUAAAAACAAGAUAAAAAUCAUAAAUUAAUCUAAAAAAUGUGUAAAUAAGCAAUAAUAAUUAUGAUAAAAAUGUGGCUAAAUUAUGCUUGAUCAAAUACCCCCACACCUAGCUUUUUGCUUGUCCUCAAGGAACAAAUAACUUAGCCAAUCAAGCCCCCUUUUUCCUUAGAGCCUAAGUACCACUUAAUCAGCCCCCCCUAGACUCCUAAUCUGAAUUAUCACAGUAUAGAGUACAUGCACUAAGGUCAUCCUCUCCUUUCCUUGUUUCCUUUCACCUACCAUGGUCAAGAGAAAGGUUUUUGAAACAAUCAUGCUUAUUACUUUAUGUUAGUUUUAAUGCAACCCCUAGGAGUGACUUGCCCCUUUUCUUUUUCUCCUGUUAAUUUUCAUUUUUAUUUUCAGCAGCACUUAUUCUUAUCCUUGCCUGAAAAAGUCACUAACCUUUUUAUGCGAUUGUGUACAUGGGUGAUACACCCCCGGUUACUCAGUUAGUCACUUGUUCAAGUGGCUACUAGCUCUGCUCAUAGUCUAGACCAUCGAAACUUAUUUGCUUGGAAAAGUCACUAACCUUUUUACGCGAUUGUGUACAUGGGUGAUACACCCCCGGUUACUCAGUCAGUUACUUCUCCAAGUGGCUAUUAGGCUCAGUUCAUAGUCUUAGACCAUUGGAACAAGUUUGUGAUUUGUGCUUUGUGCUGGUUUUUCAUGAUAGUUUGGGCAAACCAACUCAUAGAGAGUUACACUAGCUUUGUAUUUGCAUGUAUUUGUAUUUUUAUUUCCCUUGACCUUAGCACAUUUAAGGAUUCAAUUCAAGAGAAAAACUCUCUAAGUGAAGGUAACAUACUGUGAAUGAUUCAAUUUAGGCUUAAAGGGGUGGCAAAUUAAUGGGAU